AGUGAACGCUGGCGGCGUGCUUAACACAUGCAAGUCGAACGAGAACGGAAUAUAGCUUGCUAUAUUUGUCAGCUAAGUGGCGCACGGGUGAGUAAUGUAUAGAUAACCUGCCCUUAAGAAAGGAAUAACAGUUGGAAACGACUGCUAAUGCCCUAUAUGCCUUUAAUACAUAAGUAUGCAAGGGAAACGCUUUAGUGCUUAAGGAUGGGUCUGUAUGGUAUCAGCUUGUUGGUGAGGUAAUGGCUCACCAAGGCUAUGACGCCUAACUGGUUUGAGAGGAUGAUCAGUCACACUGGAACUGAUACACGGUCCAGACUCCUACGGGAGGCAGCAGUGGGGAAGAUUGCACAAUGGACGAAAGUCUGAUGCAGCAACGCCGCGUGGAGGAUGACACAUUUCGGUGCGUAAACUCCUUUUAUAUAGGAAGAUAAUGACGGUACUAUAUGAAUAAGCACCGGCUAACUCCGUGCCAGCCGCCGCGGUAA
RNAcentral lists this ribosomal RNA (485 nucleotides) under uncultured bacterium. RNAcentral's name for it is "partial 16S ribosomal RNA". It matches the Rfam family "Bacterial small subunit ribosomal RNA", at positions 29 to 523 of the family's 1533-position model. The record is from RNAcentral.